UGAACGCUGGCGGCGUGCCUAAUACAUGCAAGUCGAGCGAACGGACGAGGAGCUUGCUCCUCUGACGUUAGCGGCGGACGGGUGAGUAACACGUGGAUAACCUACCUAUAAGACUGGGAUAACUUCGGGAAACCGGAGCUAAUACCGGAUAAUAUAUUGAACCGCAUGGUUCAAUAGUGAAAGACGGUUUUGCUGUCACUUAUAGAUGGAUCCGCGCCGCAUUAGCUAGUUGGUAAGGUAACGGCUUACCAAGGCGACGAUGCGUAGCCGACCUGAGAGGGUGAUCGGCCACACUGGAACUGAGACACGGUCCAGACUCCUACGGGAGGCAGCAGUAGGGAAUCUUCCGCAAUGGGCGAAAGCCUGACGGAGCAACGCCGCGUGAGUGAUGAAGGUCUUCGGAUCGUAAAACUCUGUUAUUAGGGAAGAACAAAUGUGUAAGUAACUAUGCACGUCUUGACGGUACCUAAUCAGAAAGCCACGGCUAACUACGUG
Molecule: ribosomal RNA, 495 nt
Filed under: uncultured bacterium
Lineage: Bacteria
Description: partial 16S ribosomal RNA
Rfam family: Bacterial small subunit ribosomal RNA
Source: RNAcentral